This 215-nucleotide long non-coding RNA is filed under the name Mytilus galloprovincialis (Mediterranean mussel). The record is from RNAcentral. Lineage: Eukaryota; Metazoa; Mollusca; Bivalvia; Mytilida; Mytilidae.
GGUUUGAAUCCCCCUUUUUUAAAUGGCUGGAUCCGCCCCUGCCAGCAAUGAUAACACAAAAGAAAUUGUCAUAUAGGAUGUUACAUAAUGAGACUCUAGACAAAUGUGAUUUGAAGUAACCAAGACGUCCAGAAUUUAAAUUUUACCUGUUUAAAUCUAUAAUCAAUGUUUUGACACCGUCCCCAAAUUUAAAGACUAAUUUGUCAACCUCAGCG